GUAUCCUCAGGGACCUCGGGCUAAGUUGAGAUUGCAAAAUAAAAGAAAGAAGCAUUAUUUUGAUUUAGAAAAUAAAUUAUCUUAAAAUUGAUGUAAUUAGAAAAUAAAGAGCUCAGGAGUUUUGAAUUAAUUUUGCACUAGUAGAGUUGUAUCUCUUUUUUUUAAUUAAAUAGAUGUGAUUAAUCUUAAGAAAAAUACCCAUCUUUCCUUGACACACCCCAUACCCG
RNAcentral lists this long non-coding RNA (227 nucleotides) under Elaeis guineensis (African oil palm). Its description in RNAcentral is "long non-coding RNA (EGUI_LNC070666)". The record is from RNAcentral. Lineage: Eukaryota; Viridiplantae; Streptophyta; Magnoliopsida; Arecales; Arecaceae.